UUUAAUUUUAUUUUGAAAAACUAGUCUUAAUUAUAUCUUUGAAAUUAAAAGGAUGGUAAAUCACUCUUCCGUCUAUACAUUUUACAAAAUUUUCAGUGCAAUAAUGUUACAAAUUCCGUUAAAAAUAAUGUUACGAAUAUUCAAUUUAAUAACUAUGAAGAAUGAUUUUUUUUUUUUUGUCUAAGAAGAAGAAUGAAUAUAUAUAUAUGUAUGUAUAAUCUAACGGAAAAAAAAGAAUGAAUAAAUAAUUAAUUCCAAUUUGCCUUAUUUAACAAGUAAGGGGAAAUUACAUGUUUACCACUACUUUCAUGGUACUACUUUUAAUUUUUACCAUUAAUAAAGAGACAUUUUCAAAAAUAUUCAUUAAGUAGCAAAAGACUCUUAUGCUCUGGUUCUUUAUAUAUAUAAUAAAUAAAUAAAUAAAAAUCUAAAAAAAUAAAAAAUUAAUUUUUUAAAUUUUUUUUCGAAUUAUACUAUUUCAAAAUUCAAACCCUAAACCCUAAAACUCAACGCUAAACCCUAAACCAUCAAUCUUAAACCAUAUUAUAUUUUAAAAUACAAACCCUAAACCCCGAAACAUAACCUCUAAGCCCUAAAUCUCGAAACAUCAACUCUAAACCCUAAACCCUAACCCUUCAACUCUAAACCCUAAAGCAUCAACGCUAAACCCUAAACCCUAAACUUCAACUCUAAACCUGAAACCAUCAACACUAAACCCUAAACUAUCAACACUAAACCCUAAACCCUAAAAAGUAAACUCUAAACUCUAAACCCUAAAAAAUUAACCCUAAACCCAAAAACAUCAACUCUAAACCCUAAACCCUAAAAAAUUAACCCUAAACCCUAAAACAUCAACUCUAAAUCCUAAACCCUAAACCUUCAACUCUAAACCCUAAAGCCUAAAGCCUAAACCCUAAAGCCUAAAACCCUAGAGUUGAUGUUUUAGGGUUUAGAUUUGAAGGUUUAGGGUUUUAGGGUUUAGGGUUCGAAUUUCAGAAAAAUAUAUGGUUUAGGGUUUAGAUUUGAAAGUUUAGAGUUUAGGGUUUAGAGUUGAUGUUUCGGGGUUUAGGGUUUAGAGUUGAUGUUUUAUGGUUUAGGGUUUAGAGCUGAUGAUUUAGGGUUUAAACUUGAUGUUUUAAGUUUAGAUUUAGGGUUUAGGGUUUACGUUUAGGGUUUAGAGUUGAUGUUUUAGGGUUUAAAUUUGAAGGUUUAGGGUUGAUGCUUCGGGGUUUAGAGUUUAGAGUUGAUGUUUCAUAGUUUAGGGUUUAAAGUUGAUGAUUUAGGGUUUAGAGUUGAUGUUUUAAGUUUAGAUUGGUUAACCAUAUGUUUUUUUUGUCAAAGUUAACCAAAAGGUUAUAAACGUCUUUUACCCUUCAUUAAAGAUGAAGGUAAAAGUGAUUAGUGUAAAUAUGAAAAAUAGUACUUUGAAAAUGGUAUUUUUGGCAAUUUCCCAACAAGUAAUGGGUGUUAGCACCUUACAUUUACAAAGACUAAAACGAAUUAAAUUACAAUCUCAUCCGCUGCGGUCUCGUUACUUUAUAGCUCCAAAUCAUAACAGGUAAAUUGCCACAAAUACCAUAUUCAUAGUACCACUUUUCAUUUUCAUAUUUACACUAACCACUUUUACCCUCACUUUUAAUGAAUGGUAAUAGACACUUAUACCCUUAAGGUUAACUAAUAGAAAAUUGCCAAAAAUAUCAUUUUCGAAGUACCACUUUUCAUGUUUACACUAACCACUUUUACCUUCAUCUUUAAUGAACGGUAAAAGACAUUUAUAACCUUUUCAUUAAAUUUGACAAAAAAAACAUAAGGUUAACAAAUCUAAACUUAAAACAUCAACUUUAAACUCUAAAUCAUCGACUCUAAACCCUAAACCAUGAAAGAUUAACUCUAAACCCUAAACCCUAAACCCCGAAACAUCAACUCUAAACCCUAAACCCUAAAACAUCAACUCUAAAUCCUAAACGUAAACCUUAAACACUAAAUCUAAACUUAAAACAUCAACUUUAAACCCUAAAUCAUCAACUCUAAACCCUAAACCAUGAAACAUCAAUUCUAAACCUUAAACCCCGAAACAUCAACUCUAAACCCUAAACCCUAAAC
Molecule: long non-coding RNA, 2103 nt
Filed under: Brassica napus (rape)
Lineage: Eukaryota; Viridiplantae; Streptophyta; Magnoliopsida; Brassicales; Brassicaceae
Description: long non-coding RNA (BNAP_LNC025932)
Source: RNAcentral